Molecule: ribosomal RNA, 431 nt
Filed under: uncultured bacterium
Lineage: Bacteria
Description: bacterial SSU rRNA
Rfam family: Bacterial small subunit ribosomal RNA
Source: RNAcentral
UCUAGAGAUUUGGCGGACGGGUGAGUAACACGUGAGGAACCUGCCCCGAAGACCGGGAUAACUCUCCGAAAGGAGCGCUAAUACCGGAUACCCCCACCUAACCGCAUGGUCUGGUGAGGAAAUGGAUUCCGCUUCGGGAGGGCCUCGCGGCCUAUCAGCUAGUUGGCGGGGUAACGGCCCACCAAGGCAUCGACGGGUAGCUGGUCUGAGAGGACGAUCAGCCACACUGGGACUGAGACACGGCCCAGACUCCUACGGGAGGCAGCAGUGGGGAAUCUUGCGCAAUGGGCGAAAGCCUGACGCAGCAACGCCGCGUGGGGGAUGAAGGCUCUCGGGUUGUAAACCCCUUUCAGCAGGGACGAAUCAAGACGGUACCUGCAGAAGAAGCCCCGGCUAACUACGUGCCAGCAGCCGCGGUAAUAAUCGUCGAC